Mastomys coucha (southern multimammate mouse) is the source of this 581-nucleotide long non-coding RNA. RefSeq lists it as uncharacterized. NCBI's taxonomy places the organism in Eukaryota, Metazoa, Chordata, Mammalia, Rodentia, Muridae. The record is from RefSeq and is a predicted model, not a curated record. The transcript is spliced from 3 exons.
GGUGAUGGUAUGAAAGAAUGACGUGAUGGCGUGAACGCUUUGAUGACUGACUUCACAAGGACAGACCAUCGUGACUUCAUUAUCAUCAGCAUCACUCCUAAUCUCUGAUCUGGCCAAGCCUUACUAAAAGCUAAAGUAAGACCUUACUAAGUCAGGCUCCGGGUGGCACGCUGGUAAUCUCAGCACUGGAGACCAGGGAGGAAGAUCAGGUGUUCAAUACCUUCCUGAACUACAUACCACAGGAAACUCAUGGAACAAGGCCUACUAAUAUCUCCUCAUGAGAGGAAGGUGUAUAUUCAGGAGCAAGUUGACCAGAACAACAACUCUUCCAUUACUGAAGCUGCCCAUAAGUGGCCCAAGAAACUCCUCAGUGGUGCAGGUUCUUUGUGAAUCAUCCAUGCUGCAGAGGACCUACAUUCAAUUCUCAGCACACACAGGGCAGCUCAACCACCUGCUACUCCAUUUUCAGAGGAUUCAACGCCCUCCCCUGUCCUCUGCAGGCAUGUGAUAUUAUGCAUGAACUCACACAUGGGCAUACAUACACAUGAAAAUAAACAUUGUUUUUUCGUCUCUGACCUGGG